Molecule: ribosomal RNA, 429 nt
Filed under: Bacteroidota bacterium
Lineage: Bacteria; Pseudomonadati; Bacteroidota
Description: Bacteroidetes bacterium partial 16S ribosomal RNA
Rfam family: Bacterial small subunit ribosomal RNA
Source: RNAcentral
UAGGGAAUCUUCGGCAAUGGGGGGAACCCUGACCGAGCAACGCCGCGUGAGUGAAGAAGGUUUUCGGAUCGUAAAGCUCUGUUGUUAAGGAAGAACGAGUGUGAGAAUGGAAAGUUCAUGCUGUGACGGUACUUAACCAGAAAGGGACGGCUAACUACGUGCCAGCAGCCGCUGUAAUACGUAGGUCCCGAGCGUUGUCCGGAUUUAUUGGGCGUAAAGCGAGCGCAGGCGGUUAGAAAAGUCUGAAGUGAAAGGCAGUGGCUCAACCAUUGUAGGCUUUGGAAACUGUUUAACUUGAGUGCAGAAAGGGAGAGUGGAAUUCCAUGUGUAGCGGUGAAAUGCGUAGAUAUAUGGAGGAACACCGGUGGCGAAAGCGGCUCUCUGGUCUGUAACUGACGCUGAGGCUCGAAAGCGUGGGGAGCGAACAGG